GGGGGUGAAUUAGGUUCGACGUGGGCAGGAAGAGCAUCAGAAGCGAGCCGAGGUCCCCGCUGCCUCGUUAAAUAAGUGGGAAAGCAAUAACUGCAAACAACAAUUACGCCUUAGCUGCUUAGUUCAGCUAACGCCGCUUGUUCCUUCCGUCUGUAAGCAACAAGGCCGGCGUCACAAUACAGACUACUCCUUCGGCACAGCCCGGGGCUGAUGGGGGAAAAUUACGGGCUGGUCCGUCCUUGCGGCCCGCUGCAAGGCUGAAGGAUGGACGAGAAUUGAAAUUGCAGCUGCGCUCGGAGAUGCUGGUGUGAUUUCGCUUGCGGACAGCGGUGCAACUCCGCUCACCUCCACCA
This 353-nucleotide transfer-messenger RNA is filed under the name Limnochordia. RNAcentral's name for it is "DTU010 sp900018335 Standard tmRNA". It matches the Rfam family "transfer-messenger RNA". Rfam says of the family: Bacterial tmRNA, also known as 10Sa RNA or SsrA, is named for its dual tRNA and mRNA-like properties. Its role is to liberate the mRNA from a stalled ribosome. Lineage: Bacteria; Bacillati; Bacillota. RNAcentral also lists the same sequence under 2 other names. The record is from RNAcentral.